GCCAAGGGCAGAUUAGCAUUAGGGAAGUUUUGCUAAAUGGAGAGUCACAUUAAUAUGUAAGAAACUGGAAGACUAUAGGCCCUGGAGCAAAACAGGAGAUCCUCAAGUACCGUGGAACAAUGGAAGAGUGUUCAUAGUGGAUUUGAACAUGAGCUGCCAGCAAGCUGGAUGAAUGGUGUGACUGUCACAUCCAUUGAAUGUUCUGGAGCUUUCCUGACAAGGUCUUAACUUUCUGCCAGUACAGACUGAUUUUGUUUUGAAAUUUUUUGAGACAUUGUCUCUAAGCUGUAUCCGCAACUGAAGUGAUUGUGAGGGCUAAUGUAACUCUUUGUUCCAAACACAGCUCUCUUUUUUUUUUUCCCCUCCUUUUGGCAAGUAUGAACAUAUUUAAGUUUCAGAAAGCCUUGAAGUAAUUGUUACAGCUGUAUUUCACCAAUGGAUUGCAUGGACUGC
Molecule: long non-coding RNA, 453 nt
Filed under: Calidris pygmaea (Spoon-billed sandpiper)
Lineage: Eukaryota; Metazoa; Chordata; Aves; Charadriiformes; Scolopacidae
Description: lncRNA (ENSCPGG00000002529.1)
Source: RNAcentral